CUAGAGUUACUAAGCUCCCUUGAAAUAGCGAGCUCUCAGGCCUCCGAUAUAUUUUUUCAUUGUUGCCCCUCUGUCCCAUGGAUCCGUUUUGUCAGGUCGGUUCAUUUUCACCGGUGACAAAUGAGUUGAGUUUCUCCAUGAGGUCAUCUUCCUCAACCAGACCCACGAAUUCCAUCCAUAUCUUGCGCCGCCGCCGCCUCUCUCCUCUGCCUCGCCGUACCUUCCACGCGGAUUUGUGUGAUCUCCGGGCGCGGUACUCAGCCUGUGGGCGGCUCCCCGCGGCAGGGAGGCGCGGCACCUCAUGCCGCCCAUGUUCCUCUCUCGCUCUCACCAUCACGCCACCGAUCCCCUCCCCUCCUCCACCCAGCGGAUGCUCCGACCUCUCUUCUCCUCCUCAUGGAUGCGUUCCCUCACCUCUCGCGGCGCCUCCUUGGCUCAUCCGCUGGGCGAACUCCAUAACCCUCUCGGCCCUUCCUUCUCUUGCCCCCUUGGCGCGCACCAAACUCCCAUGUGCUUCCCCUAGCGGACCACAUCAGAUUCACCUGAACUUUGAUCGUUGUUUUUCUUUUCUUUUCAUGGCUUUCUUGAUCUUUGCUACUUGGUGUUGAGCAUGGACGGUCAGCACAACAGUAUGGAGAUCCAAACCUUUACUUUAUGUCUGAACUGUUCAUGGCUCAAGUCACAUAGGAAAGGUCAUACCGGUUUUGAGUUCUCUCCUGUGAAAUGUUUUUGGAUCAAGAUGGUUUUAGACUUUCAGGAGGAAUUCGUAUGUAGGUUUAUAUUCCCUUGUGGAUGAAAAGGGUGAUGGAGUACACUGUCUUGUGCCCAAAGGCUUACUUUCCAAAAUUCAGCAGCUGACGUCUGAAGGUCGUGUAUGUUAUCUACAGUUCUUUCAGACUAGCCCCGCGAAAAGGCAGGCUUGAGAUAUUUCAGGUCAAGAUUCAACUGGUCGAUUCUGGGUACAGAAUUCUUGAGGUUGAUCAGUAUGUUGAAUGCAUUGCUGAAUGAGGACGUCGAUUUGAGACGGACAAGGAAUCUACUAUGCACCGCACAACUAUGUCUCGGCACAACAGAUACCGCCUCCAACAAGCAAGAGCGAAGCCAACGGAAGGAAACACCACCAAACGCAACUUAAAUAAAACACAACGCAAUGGAAUUGAAACCAUGGUGAACCAACUGACCAUGAUAAUCCACGAAGAAAAAAGGGAAGUUGAACCCAGAAUCUAAAAACGGCACGGCAAAGCGCGCGUCACCUUCUAGUGCAAUCUAUGCUUGGUGGAAUGUACUCUAAUUCGGCACUCACAAAUAUUCGCCUCCAGGCCACCAUUAGUCUUUUCUUUCGCACGUAGUUGGCAUGUCGUUCCUUUUUUUCAUAGUUUAACCGCACUAAAACCGGUUCUGUAAUCAUAAUUCUACUUUUCGAAAUAGAAAGACAACGCUUAUGCUA
This is a long non-coding RNA of Triticum aestivum (bread wheat), 1447 nucleotides long. RefSeq lists it as uncharacterized. The transcript is spliced from 4 exons. Lineage: Eukaryota; Viridiplantae; Streptophyta; Magnoliopsida; Poales; Poaceae. The record is from RefSeq and is a predicted model, not a curated record.